Long non-coding RNA from Peromyscus californicus insignis, 484 nucleotides. RefSeq lists it as uncharacterized. Lineage: Eukaryota; Metazoa; Chordata; Mammalia; Rodentia; Cricetidae. The record is from RefSeq and is a predicted model, not a curated record. The transcript has 4 exons.
AUGAAAACAAGGGAAGCAAGUCCUUUCAUGCCUCUGAAUCUUCCAGAAGACUCAGAAACCGGCAACAGUGAGCAUCUUUGAAGACAGUUUUCCAGAUCCUUUGACCAAAGAAGAAUGGUUCCUUGGACUACAGCCUGGAUCUGCUGGACAGCUUUCUACUGCUUCAGACACGCUAUUCCACAGCAGACCCGGGACUCUGCAGUGCAUGGGAGGGAUGUAGUGACUGUCACCACAGGAGCUGAGAAAGAAGAGGAGGACAAAGGCAUAUUUAGGACAUGCCAUAAGGAAAACUGAACAGCAGGGCUUGUAAAGAAUUAAAGGAUAAAAUAACAAGAGUAGCACAGUGGAGAGAACGUUGUACAACUUUGUCAAUAUGGAUGAUUUCCAAUCAAGCACUGGCUAUAGAUUUCUUGUUGUGAUUUUAAAACUCUCUCAUGAAACUUAGUAUGUUACACACUUUUUGUACUCUGUAACCUGUCUUGGA